GACGAACGCUGGCGGCGUGCUUAACACAUGCAAGUCGAACGGAAAGGCCCUGCUUUUGUGGGGUGCUCGAGUGGCGAACGGGUGAGUAACACGUGAGUAACCUGCCCUUGACUUUGGGAUAACUUCAGGAAACUGGGGCUAAUACCGGAUAGGAGCUCCUGCUGCAUGGUGGGGGUUGGAAAGUUUCGGCGGUUGGGGAUGGACUCGCGGCUUAUCAGCUUGUUGGCGGGGUAGUGGCUUACCAAGGCUUUGACGGGUAGCCGGCCUGAGAGGGUGACCGGCCACAUUGGGACUGAGAUACGGCCCAGACUCCUACGGGAGGCAGCAGUGGGGAAUAUUGCACAAUGGGCGGAAGCCUGAUGCAGCAACGCCGCGUGCGGGAUGACGGCCUUCGGGUUGUAAACCGCUUUCGCCUGUGACGAAGCGUGAGUGACGGUAAUGGGUAAAGAAGCACCGGCUAACUACGUA
Molecule: ribosomal RNA, 468 nt
Filed under: uncultured bacterium
Lineage: Bacteria
Description: partial 16S ribosomal RNA
Rfam family: Bacterial small subunit ribosomal RNA
Source: RNAcentral